CCCGCUGAGUUUAAGCAUAUCAAUAAGCGGAGGAAAAGAAACUAACAAGGAUUCCCUUAGUAACUGCGAGUGAACCGGGAAGAGCCCAGCUUGAAAAUCAGAGGUCUUCGGCCUUCGAAUUAUAGUCUGGAGAAGCGUCCUCAGCGACGGACCGGGCCCAAGUUCCCUGGAAAGGGGCGCCAGAAAGGGUAAGAGCCCCGUCGUGCCCAGACCCUGUCGCACCACGAGGCGCUGUCUACGAGUCGGGUUGUUUGGGAAUGCAGCCCCAAUCGGGCGGUCUAUCUAAGGCUAAAUAUGGGCGAGAGACUGGUAGCAAACAAGUACUGCAAGGUAAAGAUGAAAAGGACUUUGAAAAGAGAGUCAAAGACUGCUUGAAAUUGUCGGGAGGGAAGGGGAUGGGGGCCGGCGAUUCAUCCCGGUCGGAUGCAGAACGGAGCAAUCUGGUCCGCCGAUCGAUUUGGGCCGUGGACUAAUGCGAAUUAAAAUGGUGACCUAAGCCCGGGCUUUUGUUACACCUGCGGAGACGUCGCUGCUUUAAUCGUGGUCUGCAGCACAUGCCUCACAGCGUGCCUCAGAAUAUACGUGCUCAGGGCAUCGGCCUGUGGGCUCCCCAUUCGACCCGUCUUGAAACAUGG
This 635-nucleotide non-coding RNA is filed under the name Brassica napus (rape). RNAcentral describes it as "rRNA LSU_rRNA_eukarya". It matches the Rfam family "Eukaryotic large subunit ribosomal RNA", at positions 24 to 664 of the family's 3401-position model. The record is from Rfam by way of RNAcentral. Lineage: Eukaryota; Viridiplantae; Streptophyta; Magnoliopsida; Brassicales; Brassicaceae.